RNAcentral lists this ribosomal RNA (253 nucleotides) under uncultured bacterium. RNAcentral's name for it is "partial 16S ribosomal RNA". It matches the Rfam family "Bacterial small subunit ribosomal RNA", at positions 524 to 776 of the family's 1533-position model. The record is from RNAcentral.
UACGUAGGUGGCAAGCGUUGUCCGGAUUUACUGGGCGUAAAGAGCGCGCAGGCGGUCGUACAAGUCGCGUGUGAAAGCCCCCGGCUCAACUGGGGAGGGUCACGCGAUACUGUUCGACUCGAAGGCAGGAGAGGGAAGCGGAAUUCCCGGUGUAGUGGUGAAAUGCGUAGAUAUCGGGAGGAACACCAGUGGCGAAGGCGGCUUCCUGGCCUGUUCUUGACGCUGAGGCGCGAAAGCUAGGGGAGCGAACGAG